GAUGAACGCUGGCGGCGUGCCUAAUACAUGCAAGUCGAGCGAACAGACGAGGAGCUUGCUCCUCUGACGUUAGCGGCGGACGGGUGAGUAACACGUGGAUAACCUACCUAUAAGACUGGGAUAACUUCGGGAAACCGGAGCUAAUACCGGAUAAUAUAUUGAACCGCAUGGUUCAAUAGUGAAAGACGGUUUUGCUGUCACUUAUAGAUGGAUCCGCGCCGCAUUAGCUAGUUGGUAAGGUAACGGCUUACCAAGGCAACGAUGCGUAGCCGACCUGAGAGGGUGAUCGGCCACACUGGAACUGAGACACGGUCCAGACUCCUACGGGAGGCAGCAGUAGGGAAUCUUCCGCAAUUGGCGAAAGCUUGACGGAGCAACGCCGCGUGAGUUAUGAAGGUCUUCGGAUCGUAAAACUCUGUUAUUAGGGAAGAACAAAUGUGUAAGUAACUAUGCACGUCUUGACGGUACCUAAUCAGAAAGCCACGGCUAACUACGUG
RNAcentral lists this ribosomal RNA (497 nucleotides) under uncultured bacterium. RNAcentral describes it as "partial 16S ribosomal RNA". It matches the Rfam family "Bacterial small subunit ribosomal RNA", at positions 28 to 507 of the family's 1533-position model. The record is from RNAcentral.